UCAGAUAUCCCCACCCCAUAUCUUAGGUUUCCAUUACUUCCCAAUCAGGGUCCUGACCUUGGAGUAGUAAAUGGGCCAACGAAGUGAGAACAAAACCUCUCCUUGAGUUCUGAUACUCUCAAAUUAAGUCCUGGAUCUAAUCCCAAAUUUUUCUUGUCCUCUGGUUGUAAAAGAUGACAGUCAUUUUUAUACACUGCUGAGGAGGCCCCCGCUUGGACACAAACACUUUAAUUGGUGAUUAAUCACUCAGCUGUUUACUGUCUGCCCCUAAAUCAUUGAUUGAUCCCAGCAAUGUGCAUCCAAAUAGCUGACAUAUUGCAUCAGCCUGUGUGUUCCCUUCCACGAGUCCACAGGCCCAGAUCUCCACUGGUGAAAGUUUUAACAAUUGGACUGCUACCUAUGCGAGGAGCCUUCCAUGCUUCCCCUACCAGUGAGGGGGUCCUUACGGCAGGCAGGCCAACUCUUCAUCCUUAUACAAAAUCCCACUUCAGAGUCUCCUUCCUCAGACCACACCGGGGUCUUGGGCAGCAGAAUCUGAGACAGAGAAUCAGGUGCAGGAAGUUCAUUGGAGAGUGUGUGAGUUCAACCUCUAGAGGGAAUGAAUGAAGCAAGAUUGGGCUCCUGGAGAAGGUGACUACAACACUCUUGCAACAAAAGCCUCAGCCACUUCUAAGGCCUUUAACGUCUUAAUUGACCAAUCGUUGGACACAGGUAAGGGGCGGUGAGCCUCUGGUGAGAGGACCGUCUUCAAUGAAAGGCAAUUACUGGAGACAGGUGCAACUGAGAACUGUUGGUCAUCAACACACCCAGUAAGUGAAGAGUGAGCGCUUCUAUCCUGGAGCAGGAUCUGGGCCAGCACCCAGCACUUUCAAACAUUCAGUGAGAGUGAAGAGGGACCCCAUUCCUGACCUGUGGAGUGACGAGGAAGGCACUGGAUGUUCUCUCCAGGAGAGAGGUUCAGUGACCUUAGGGAAUGGCUGACGACCAGAGGAUACCUGGAAAGGAAUGUUGGAUAAUAUCCAAAAAAUAUAUAAAGAAAAAAUCUAAAAGUCACCUAUAAGACACCUCUCCAAGGGUUAUUGCAAAGAGCAAAGGAGAUAAUGGACAUGAAAAUACUUUGUAAAUUGCGAAGGUUAUUCUAGAGGUUCCCACUGGAGUUCUGGAUUCCCAGGAUACACAGCAACCAGCUGUAUGGGACUUUGGAAGAUAAUGGUCACCCUCUCCCCUUUGGCCUCCUCUUUCCUUUUCCACUCUAAACUACAGCUGUCUCAGGCAAUGACUACAGAUUCUGCUUUGGGAUUUAGAUUCGGAGGAAAAGGGAGGAGGGAGAAAUAAAAAGAUUAUGAAAUUCGGCCAAAAGAAUAAGAAAGGGUAAAAUCAGGGGAAAUUCACCUGUCUGAUGCAAAGUUAAACUGCUGGCUUUAAUGUGACUGCAUGGGAACUUGGGUUUAUUAAUGAAUACAACAUACCCUCUUUGAUUUGAAAGCUUUCACCCUGCUGAAAAGAUUCAAAAGGCAUCGCUUCCUGCACCAGCGGCAUUCCUUUAUCCGUCUCAGUGGUUCACCCCUACCCAGCUGCUAUAUCUCAUUAACAAGCAUUUGACCACUGCAGCCGGCCUGGGAGUGUUGACACUUGAAAGGCCCAGGCAGGCGUGGGCAGGCCAUCAGCUAUGGCAACAGGAAACUGCCCCGGAGACAACACUGAGAAAACAGCAGCUGCAAGAGCCAAAGUCAGAACAGACAUAAAGGGUUGCCUAUAUCCACGUCGGUCUGGGGUAUCGGUGCGUGCCUGUGGGCCUGAAUUCACACGUCUAUUUACUAUAUUUAUGGGAUAUAAAGGUUGCUAUCAACAUGUCUCUAACACUGGACUUGCUGACAACACAGAAUGAUUUUUUGACUUUCAGUGUUCUCGAAUCCUCAGGUUUCCAGAAUCUUCCUCAUCUCCUUUUAAUGUAACUUCUUGUUUAUGCACAUAAGGACGUUCACUAGAGGCCUUAAACUUGAUAGACACGUUCACUCUGGUGAAAGUCACAGUGACAAUAAAAAAUAUAUAUGCCUGAAUCCUUACCCAUUUUUCAUGCUACCACAUUAUUUUUAAAAACAAGUCAACUUGUAAAACUGUCACAUAAAUACGUAAGAUUACUCUGAAAGUCUUUGGCUUAGGAAUCAAACUGUGAUGGUUUUAUGUAGAAUAUUUAAGAAUGAAACAGUCAUUUCAAUUGUGUAAAGGUAGCUCAUAAAAUUGUGGGAUGUUCCACUUAUUAUUGAUCAUAAUAAUUUCAAAUACCUAUGUUAAUAAAAUUCAUUUACUAUUCUUUGAAUUGUAGGCUACACAGCAUCACACCCUUGAAUCUACUUCUAAAUGUUGUUUCUAUAUUCAUCUGAGGAGCUCAAAGUACACAUACCAAUUGGAAUGUUUCAUGCAAUGUUUGGGGCAAGUAUUUCUCCAAAUCUGGUGUGUCUCUGUCCAAGCCUAUAAGAGCGUUUUUAGAGGAUAGGUAAGCAAUAGUUCAAAAUCAAAGUUUUUCAUCCAGAAGGAAAAUGACCCUUUUCAAAACAGGAAAAAGAGGUCACUCCAUAUUAGGGGAGAAAAGAAAGCUAAAUGAAAAAAGACACUAAUACAAUGUGUUAUAAGUGAAAGUAGUUGACUGCCACUCAAAGACUAGUGAAUUAUUUUCCUGUCAUCAUCA
Molecule: long non-coding RNA, 2689 nt
Filed under: Equus caballus (horse)
Lineage: Eukaryota; Metazoa; Chordata; Mammalia; Perissodactyla; Equidae
Description: lncRNA (ENSECAG00000030420.3)
Source: RNAcentral